This 256-nucleotide ribosomal RNA is filed under the name uncultured bacterium. RNAcentral's name for it is "partial small subunit ribosomal RNA". It matches the Rfam family "Bacterial small subunit ribosomal RNA", at positions 26 to 286 of the family's 1533-position model. The record is from RNAcentral.
AGGACGAACGCUGGCGGCGUGCUUAACACAUGCAAGUCGAGCGGAAAGGCCCUUCGGGGUACUCGAGCGGCGAACGGGUGAGUAACACGUGAGUAACCUGCCCCAGGCUUUGGGAUAACCCUCGGAAACGGGGGCUAAUACCGGAUAUUCAUUUCUCGUGGCAUCACGGGUUGUGGAAAGUUUUUUCGGCUUGGGAUGGGCUCGCGGCCUAUCAGCUUGUUGGUGGGUGAUGGCCUACCAAGGCGACGACGGGUAG